CAUGUCAUUCAAAAUAGGCAUCAACAUGUCCUAAAUCCAUCAAAAUCAAAAUCCAAAAGUAUGUCAUAGAGAUCAACAGAGAUUUCAUUCCUCCUACGAAUGCAAAGACCUAUCAUCUAAGGCAAAAGCAAUCACAAUGAAGCAUGAUCAGCAGAACCAGAAUCACCAUUACUCCCCUGAUCUGCAUGCCUGGGUCCAAAGCCAAUCUCUUCUCUCAUCUUUUGAAGAACUUCGUCUUGCCA
RNAcentral lists this long non-coding RNA (242 nucleotides) under Phoenix dactylifera (date palm). RNAcentral's name for it is "long non-coding RNA (PDAC_LNC015244)". The record is from RNAcentral. Lineage: Eukaryota; Viridiplantae; Streptophyta; Magnoliopsida; Arecales; Arecaceae.